AUGGCCUACGUCGAGAGAGGUGUUGUGAAAGGCAAACGGACAAUCUGGAGACUAAGCAUAAUCCCCGACUUCUUUAAGGCUAUUGUGAACUUCAUCAGAAUGUUCUUCCUCACAAUGUUUUCUAUCGAGAAAACAGACAGCUAUAAGAAAGGAUAUGGUAGUGGUAAGAAGUGGGAUGGUGGACCUGGUGGGGGAGGUCCUGGUGGGGGUCCAUAUGGUGGUGGGGGCGGCGGUGGAGGUGGCCCUCGCGGUCCUCGCACACUAUCUGACCUCCGAUCAAACGAUCAGAGUUCCCUCCCUGCUUGUGGAUCCUGCUGCGGAUGA
Molecule: ribosomal RNA, 324 nt
Filed under: Triticum aestivum (bread wheat)
Lineage: Eukaryota; Viridiplantae; Streptophyta; Magnoliopsida; Poales; Poaceae
Description: partial small subunit ribosomal RNA
Source: RNAcentral